AAUAAAUUUUUUAUAGUUUAUAAAUUUAUUAUAAAUUUAUUUUGCAUAUAAAUUUUAGUGUUUAUUUUUCAUUAUUUUAAUAAUUUUUGAAUUUUAAAAUAUAUAGCAAUUAAUAUUAAAAAUUUAAGAGAUUAAGAUUUAGUAAUAUUUAAAUUAAUAACAAAUUUUGUGCCAGCAGUUGCGGUUAUACAAAAAUUAAAUUAAAUUUUAUUAGUAAUUAAUUUAUAAAAAUUUUAUUUAAUUAAAUAUUAAAUUAAUAGGUGAAAUUUUUAUUUGAUUUAAUUUAAUUUAAUUUUAUAAUUUAAUAAAUUUAUAUUAUAAACUAGGAUUAGAUACCCUAUUAUUAAAAAUUUAAAUUUAAAAUACUAAAAUAGUAUAUAAUUAUUUAUUGAAACUUAAAUAAUUUGGCGGUAUUUUAGUUCAUUUAGAGGAAUCUGUUUAUUAAUUGAUAAUCCACGAAUGAAUUUACUUAAUUUAAAAUUUUGUAUAUCGUUGUUAAAAAAAUAUUUUUAAAUGAAAAUAAUAUUUUAAUUUUAUAAUUAAAAAUUAAAUCAGAUCAAGAUGCAGAUUAUAAUUAAGAAUAUAAUGGAUUACAAUAAAUUUAUUUAAAUGAAUUUUUUUUUGUAAUAAAAAUUUGAAAGUGGAUUUAAAUGUAAUUUUAUUUAUUUUAAUAAAAUGAUUAUAUAUUAAAAUAUGUACAUAUUGCCCGUCGCUUUCAUAAAUAAAUUGGAAUAAGUCGUAACAAAGUAGAGGUACUGGAAAGUGUUUCUAGAAAUAA
This 778-nucleotide non-coding RNA is filed under the name Ostrinia scapulalis. Lineage: Eukaryota; Metazoa; Arthropoda; Insecta; Lepidoptera; Crambidae. The record is from RNAcentral.